Molecule: long non-coding RNA, 677 nt
Filed under: Numida meleagris (helmeted guineafowl)
Lineage: Eukaryota; Metazoa; Chordata; Aves; Galliformes; Numididae
Description: lncRNA (ENSNMEG00000010383.1)
Source: RNAcentral
GAGGAAAAAUCAUACCCAUGUAACAAGUCUUCAUUGACCUUACCAAUGCUUUUGAUGCUAUUAGACUUCCAGCUCUGUGAAAACCGUUGGCACUAUUUCCGAACUCCUGGAUGUCCAGAAAAGUUUGUGAAAUUAUCCGUCAUCUGCACAAUGGUGUGCUGGAUAGAGGCUGCGGCUGGCACUCUGUUGGAUCCAUUUGUAAUAGCAAAAGGAGUCAAGCAAAGCUUUCUCCAUCCUUGUGUCUCUGCAGUUCAGUGACCUCAACACGGGAGGAGAAAUGUGUGUGUCCCAGAAGCCCCACAUGUUGGUCAAGCCAGCUGAGAAGGUAUACAGUUUAUCAUUUACAUCUUUUAAUUGCACAUUCUCUUUCACUCCUCACCAUCAAACACACCUUAUGGCCAUGAACAUUUCUUGUUAUUCCACUUAAUGGAUACAGAAGAAGAGGGGAAGGGAAAUUAAUGUUCAAACUAACGAUCACCUCCUCUGGGAAGUAUUUGGCUUCGUGGCAGAUUAAGCCUAUUGGGCUGUAUGACGGGCAGUGGUUUGGGUGGGAGAUUCGUGCUUGGAUUAUUUUUUGUUAGCACCGCUGUUAAAUAUUUCACCUCUUUGAGAAUAAUUUCUUCAUAGAUAUAUAUAGUUGCUGGUUUUCAUGCUGGAUGAAAUAAUUCUGUGCCCAC